UCCAGGCAAAUCCGGAUAAUCAAGGCUGAGGUGUGAUGACGAGGCACUACGGUGCUGAAGUAACAAAUGCCCUGCUUCCAGGAAAAGCCUCUAAGCAUCAGGUAACAUCAAAUCGUACCCCAAACCGACACAGGUGGUCAGGUAGAGAAUACCAAGGCGCUUGAGAGAACUCGGGUGAAGGAACUAGGCAAAAUGGUGCCGUAACUUCGGGAGAAGGCACGCUGGUGUGUAGGUGAAGCCCCUGCGGGUGGAGCUGAGACCAGUCGAAGAUACCAGCUGGCUGCAACUGUUUAUUAAAAACACAGCACUGUGCAAACACGAAAGUGGACGUAUACGGUGUGACGCCUGCCCGGUGCCGGAAGGUUAAUUGAUGGGGUUAUCCGUAAGGAGAAGCUCUUGAUCGAAGCCCCGGUAAACGGCGGCCGUAACUAUAACGGUCCUAAGGUAGCGAAAUUCCUUGUCGGGUAAGUUCCGACCUGCACGAAUGGCGUAAUGAUGGCCAGGCUGUCUCCACCCGAGACUCAGUGAAAUUGAACUCGCUGUGAAGAUGCAGUGUACCCGCGGCAAGACGGAAAGACCCCGUGAACCUUUACUAUAGCUUGACACUGAACAUUGAGCCUUGAUGUGUAGGAUAGGUGGGAGGCUUUGAAGCGUGGACGCCAGUCUGCGUGGAGCCAACCUUGAAAUACCACCCUUUAAUGUUUGAUGUUCUAACGUUGGCCCCUUACCGGGGUUGCGGACAGUGUCUGGUGGGUAGUUUGACUGGGGCGGUCUCCUCCCAAAGCGUAACGGAGGAGCACGAAGGUUAGCUAAUCCUGGUCGGACAUCAGGAGGUUAGUGCAAUGGCAUAAGCUAGCUUGACUGCGAGCGUGACGGCGCGAGCAGGUGCGAAAGCAGGUCAUAGUGAUCCGGUGGUUCUGAAUGGAAGGGCCAUCGCUCAACGGAUAAAAGGUACUCCGGGGAUAACAGGCUGAUACCGCCCAAGAGUUCAUAUCGACGGCGGUGUUUGGCACCUCGAUGUCGGCUCAUCACAUCCUGGGGCUGAAGUAGGUCCCAAGGGUAUGGCUGUUCGCCAUUUAAAGUGGUACGCGAGCUGGGUUUAGAACGUCGUGAGACAGUUCGGUCCCUAUCUGCCGUGGGCGCUGGAGAAUUGAGGGGGGCUGCUCCUAGUACGAGAGGACCGGAGUGGACGCAUCACUGGUGUUCGGGUUGUCAUGCCAAUGGCACUGCCCGGUAGCUAAAUGCGGAAGAGAUAAGUGCUGAAAGCAUCUAAGCACGAAACUUGCCCCGAGAUGAGUUCUCCCUGAGACUUUAAGUCUCCUGAAGGAACGUUGAAGACGACGACGUUGAUAGGCCGGGUGUGUAAGCGCAGCGAUGCGUUGAGCUAACCGGUACUAAUGAACCGUGAGGCUUAACCUU
RNAcentral lists this ribosomal RNA (1419 nucleotides) under Klebsiella pneumoniae. Its description in RNAcentral is "bacterial LSU rRNA". It matches the Rfam family "Bacterial large subunit ribosomal RNA", at positions 1531 to 2925 of the family's 2925-position model. RNAcentral also lists the same sequence under 1 other name. Lineage: Bacteria; Pseudomonadati; Pseudomonadota; Gammaproteobacteria; Enterobacterales; Enterobacteriaceae. The record is from RNAcentral.